Molecule: ribosomal RNA, 499 nt
Filed under: uncultured bacterium
Lineage: Bacteria
Description: bacterial SSU rRNA
Rfam family: Bacterial small subunit ribosomal RNA
Source: RNAcentral
CUACGUGCCAGCAGCCGCGGUAAUACGGAGGGUGCGAGCGUUAAUCGGAAUAACUGGGCGUAAAGGGCACGCAGGCGGUGACUUAAGUGAGGUGUGAAAGCCCCGGGCUUAACCUGGGAAUUGCAUUUCAUACUGGGUCGCUAGAGUACUUUAGGGAGGGGUAGAAUUCCACGUGUAGCGGUGAAAUGCGUAGAGAUGUGGAGGAAUACCGAAGGCGAAGGCAGCCCCUUGGGAAUGUACUGACGCUCAUGUGCGAAAGCGUGGGGAGCAAACAGGAUUAGAUACCCUGGUAGUCCACGCUGUAAACGAUGAGUGCUAAGUGUUGGUCUCAUAAGAGAUCAGUGCUGCAGCUAACGCAUUAAGCACUCCGCCUGGGGAGUACGGCCGCAAGGUUAAAACUCAAAUGAAUUGACGGGGGCCCGCACAAGCGGUGGAGCAUGUGGUUUAAUUCGAUGCAACGCGAAGAACCUUACCUACUCUUGACAUCCAGAGAACAUUC